Long non-coding RNA from Vollenhovia emeryi, 668 nucleotides. RefSeq lists it as uncharacterized. NCBI's taxonomy places the organism in Eukaryota, Metazoa, Arthropoda, Insecta, Hymenoptera, Formicidae. The transcript is spliced from 3 exons. The record is from RefSeq and is a predicted model, not a curated record.
UGAGAGGGAUUUCAUACUAUCCCCUGAGGGUGCCGUCCCAUGGAGCGGAAUAGCGUAACGCGGAACGAGAGCGGAACCAAUCACGAGCGUUCCGCAGUUUUCAGUAGGUUUUAGCGGAAUAACUUUUCGCAGUGCGCGCAGUUAACAUAUACAUACAUCUGUAUAUAUACACACACACACACACGGGACUAGAAAGUCUUCUUAGCAAUAACGUAGUGCAAUAAAACCGUUGUAUGUGUUAAACAAGAUAAGCAGUAAAAUAAGCUACAAGAAAAAUGAGCAGCGUUAAAUCAUCACAAUUAAGCAAAAAAUGUGGAUACUGUGGAUGGAUUGUAACAAAGAAUAUGGACUUGUUACAACAUUCGUGCUUCUCUGAAUAUGACAAAGCCACAAACAUGAUUUAUAAUUUAUAUCGAUGAGAAUAACAUCAUAACUAUAGUAAAUAAAGAUACCGAUACUCUUCCCGAACAGGAUGUCAAUCUUCCUGAAUUACAAGAUACAGAAAUAACAACGGACGAACUUCUAAUAGCAUGUGUUGCUCAGAAGCCUGCUUUAUAUGAUCACCGGUUACCGAUUGCCGAGCGGACAUUAUUUAAAAAAAAUGCUCUCUUUAUUUAUGCUUCUUUUUUAUUGCAUUCUCACGUUGUACCAUUUUUUAAUAUAUUAUA